This 387-nucleotide ribosomal RNA is filed under the name uncultured bacterium. RNAcentral describes it as "bacterial SSU rRNA". It matches the Rfam family "Bacterial small subunit ribosomal RNA", at positions 28 to 414 of the family's 1533-position model. The record is from RNAcentral.
GACGAACGCUGGCGGCGUGCUUAACACAUGCAAGUCGAGCGGUAAGGCCCUUUCGGGGGUACACGAGCGGCGAACGGGUGAGUAACACGUGGGUGACCUGCCCUCAGCUCUGGGGAUAAGCCCGGGAAACUGGGUCUAAUACCGGAUAUGACUCCACGGUGCAUGUCGUGGGGUGGAAAGCCUUGUGCGGCUGAGGAUGGGCCCGCGGCCUAUCAGCUUGUUGGUGGGGCGAUGGCCACCAAGGCGACGACGGGUAGCCGGCCUGAGAGGGCGACCGGCCACACUGGGACGUGAGACACGGCCCAGACUCCUACGGGAGGCGAGCAGUGGGGAAUCUUGCGCAAUGGGCGAAAGCCUGACGCAGCGACGCCGCGUGAGGGAUGACGG